This 512-nucleotide ribosomal RNA is filed under the name uncultured bacterium. RNAcentral describes it as "bacterial SSU rRNA". It matches the Rfam family "Bacterial small subunit ribosomal RNA", at positions 32 to 518 of the family's 1533-position model. The record is from RNAcentral.
AAUCAACGCUGGCGGCGUGCCUCAGACAUGCAAGUCGAACGCGAAAGCCCCCUUCGGGGGGCAAGUAGAGUGGCGCACGGGUGAGUAACACGUAGGUAAUCUACCUUUGGAUUGGGAAUAACCACCGGAAACGGAGGCUAAUACCGAAUAAUGCAGCGGCACCUAAUGGUGACAGUUGUUAAAGCGGGGGAUCGCAAGACCUCGCGUCUGAAGAGGAGCCUGCGGCAGAUUAGCUAGUUGGUAAGGUAACGGCUUACCAAGGCGAUGAUCUGUAGCCGGCCUGAGAGGGCGGUCGGCCACACUGACACUGACAUACGGGUCAGACUCCUACGGGAGGCAGCAGUCGGGAAUUUUGGGCAAUGGGCGAAAGCCUGACCCAGCAACGCCGCGUGAAGGAUGAAAUCCCUCGGGAUGUAAACUUCGCAAGAACGGGAAGAAUAAGCCGGUGUCAACACCACCGGCGAUGACGGUACUGUUUGUAAGCUCCGGCUAACUCCGUGCCAGCAGCCGAC